UAACCGGAUUAGAUACCCUGGUAGUCCACGCCGUAAACGAUGUCGACUUGGAGGUUGUGCCCUUGAGGCGUGGCUUCCGGAGCUAACGCGUUAAGUCGACCGCCUGGGGAGUACGGCCGCAAGGUUAAAACUCAAAUGAAUUGACGGGGGCCCGCACAAGCGGUGGAGCAUGUGGUUUAAUUCGAUGCAACGCGAAGAACCUUACCUGGUCUUGACAUCCACAGAACUUUCCAGAGAUGGAUUGGUGCCUUCGGGAACUGUGAGACAGGUGCUGCAUGGCUGUCGUCAGCUCGUGUUGUGAAAUGUUGGGUUAAGUCCCGCAACGAGCGCAACCCUUAUCCUUUGUUGCCAGCGGUCCGGCCGGGAACUCAAAGGAGACUGCCGGUGAUAAACCGGAGGAAGGUGGGGAUGACG
This 414-nucleotide ribosomal RNA is filed under the name uncultured bacterium. Its description in RNAcentral is "bacterial SSU rRNA". It matches the Rfam family "Bacterial small subunit ribosomal RNA", at positions 770 to 1184 of the family's 1533-position model. The record is from RNAcentral.